Molecule: ribosomal RNA, 253 nt
Filed under: uncultured bacterium
Lineage: Bacteria
Description: partial 16S ribosomal RNA
Rfam family: Bacterial small subunit ribosomal RNA
Source: RNAcentral
UACGGAGGGUGCAAGCGUUAAUCGGAAUUACUGGGCGUAAAGCGCACGCAGGUGGCUGAGAAAGUCGAUUGUGAAAGCCCUGGGCUUAACCUGGGAAUUGCAGUCGAAACUACUCGGCUAGAGUAUGGGAGAGGGUAGUGGAAUUCCCGGUGUAGCGGUGAAAUGCGUAGAUAUCGUAAGGAAGACCAGUGGCGAAGGCGGGUCUCUGGACAGUUCCUGACGCUGAGGCACGAAGGCCAGGGGAGCAAACGGG